This 3994-nucleotide ribosomal RNA is filed under the name Drosophila melanogaster (fruit fly). Its description in RNAcentral is "eukaryotic LSU rRNA". The stretch from base 571 to 3366 matches the Rfam family "Eukaryotic large subunit ribosomal RNA". The record is from RNAcentral. Lineage: Eukaryota; Metazoa; Arthropoda; Insecta; Diptera; Drosophilidae.
AAAACUCUAAGCGGUGGAUCAAUCGGCUCAUGGGUCGAUGAAGAACGCAGCAAACUGUGCGUCAUCGUGUGAACUGCAGGACACAUAAACAUCGACAUUUUGAACGCAUAUCGCAGUCCAUGCUGUUAGGUACUUUAAUUAAUUUUAUAGUGCUGCUUGGACUACACAUGGUUGAGGGUUGUAAGACUAUGCUAAUUAAGUUGCUUAUAAAUUUUAUAAGCAUAUAGUAUAUUAUUGGAUAAAAUAAUGAUUUUUAUUCAUAAUAUUAAAAAAGAAAUGAAAAACAUUAUCUCACAUUUGAAUGUGAAAAACGAAGGGAAAUAUUUUCUUUUUCAAUCAAAUAAUACUGAGAAAUGUCUAGCAUAAAUUGAAAUAUUUUUCAUCUAGAAUUGUCUCUUAUUAAUGAUUCGGGAAUAGAAAAGUCUUGGUUAUGUUAUUAUUCUUCGUUGGUUCGUUAAAAAUGGAUAAAUAAAAACUUUGCAUAGAAGAAUUAAAAAAAAUGUUAUAACGAAUUUAAUUAAAUGUUUUAUAAUUAUAUAUAAAGAAUUAAUGGCAAGAUAAAAAUAUAUACAACCUCAACUCAUAUGGGACUACCCCCUGAAUUUAAGCAUAUUAAUUAGAGGAGGAAAAGAAACUAAAAAGGAUUUUCUUAAAAGCGGCGAGCGAAAAGAAAACAGUUCAGCACUAAGUCACUUUGUCUAUAUGGCAAAUGUGAGAUGCAGUGUAUGGAGCGUCAAUAUUCUAGUAUGAGAAAUUAACGAUUUAAGUCCUUCUUAAAUGAGGCCAUUUACCCAUAGAGGGUGCCAGGCCCGUAUAACGUUAAUGAUUACUAGAUGAUGUUUCCAAAGAGUCGUGUUGCUUGAUAGUGCAGCACUAAGUGGGUGGUAAAUUCCAUCUAAAGCUAAAUAUAACCAUGAGACCGAUAGUAAACAAGUACCGUGAGGGAAAGUUGAAAAGAACUCUGAAUAGAGAGUUAAACAGUACGUGAAACUGCUUAGAGGUUAAGCCCGAUGAACCUGAAUAUCCGUUAUGGAAAAUUCAUCAUUAAAUUGUAAUAUUAAAAUAAUAUUAUGAGAAUAGUGUGCAUUUUUUCCAUAUAAGGACAUUGUAAUCUAUUAGCAUAUCCCAAAUUUAUCAUAAAAUAUAACUUAUAGUUUAUUCCAAUUAAAUUGCUUGCAUUUUAACACAGAAUAAAUGUUAUUAAUUUGAUAGAGUGCUGAUAGAUUUAUAUGAUUACAGUGCGUAAAUUUUUCGGAAUUAUAUAAUGGCAUAAUUAUCAUUGAUUUUUGUGUUUAUUAUAUGCACUUGUAUGAUUAACAAUGCGAAAGAUUCAGGAUACCUUCGGGACCCGUCUUGAAACACGGACCAAGGAGUCUAACAUAUGUGCAAGUUAUCGGGAUAUAAACCUAAUAGCGUAAUUAACUUGACUAAUAAUGGGAUUAGUUUUUUACCGAUUUAUAGCUAAUUAACACAAUCCCGGGGCGUUCUAUAUAGUUAUGUAAAAUGUAUAUUUAUAUUAUUUACGCCUCUAACUGGAACGUACCUUGAGCAUAUAUGCUGUGACCCGAAAGAUGGUGAACUAUACUUGAUCAGGUUGAAGUCAGGCGAAACCCUGAUGGAAGACCGAAACAGUUCUGACGUGCAAAUCGAUUGUCAGAAUUGAGUAUAGGGGCGAAAGACCAAUCGAACCAUCUAGGAGCUGGUUCCUUCCGAAGUUUCCCUCAGGAUAGCUGGUGCAUUUUAAUAUUAUAUAAAAUAAUCUUAUCUGGUAAAGCGAAUGAUUAGAGGCCUUAGGGUCGAAACGAUCUUAACCUCUUCUCCAACUUUAAAUGGGUAAGAACCUUAACUUUCUUGAUAUGAAGUUCAAGGUUAUGAUAUAACGUGCCCAGUGGGCCACUUUUGGUAAGCAGAACUGGCGCUGUGGGAUGAACCAAACGUAAUGUUACGGUGCCCAAAUUAACAACUCAUGCAGAUACCAUGAAAGGCGUUGGUUGCUUAAAACAGCAGGACGGUGAUCAUGGAAGUCGAAAUCCGCUAAGGAGUGUGUAACAACUCACCUGCCGAAGCAACUAGCCCUUAAAAUGGAUGGCGCUUAAGUUGUAUACCUGUACAUUACCGCUAAAGUAUAUGAUUUAUAUUACUUGUGAUAUAAAUUUUGAAACUUUAGUGAGUAGGAAGGUACAAUGGUAUGCGUAGAAGUGUUUGGCGUAAGCCUGCCUGGAGCUGCCAUUGGUACAGAUCUUGGUGGUAGUAGCAACUAAUGGAAUGAGACCUUGGAGGACUGAAGUGGAGAAGGGUUUCGUGUGAACAGUGGUUGAUCACGAGUUAGUCGGUCCUAAGUUCAAGGAGAAAGCCGAAAAUUUUCAAGUAAAACAAAAAUGCCUAACUAUAUAAACAAAGCGAAUUAUAAUACACUUGAAUAAUUUUGAACGAAAGGGAAUACGGUUCCAAUUCCGUAACCUGUUGAGUAUCCGUUUGUUAUUAAAUAUGGGCCUCGUGCUCAUCCUGGCAACAGGAACCACCAUAAAGAAGCCGUCGAGAGAUAUCGGAAGAGUUUUCUUUUCUGUUUUAUAGCCGUACUACCAUGGAAGUCUUUCGCAGAGAGAUAUGGUAGAUGGGCUAGAAGAGCAUGACAUAUACUGUUGUGUCGAUAUAUUCUCUUCGGACCUUGAAAACUUAUGGUGGGGACACGCAAACUUCUCAACAGGCCGUACCAAUAUCCGCAGCUGGUCUCCAAGGUGAAAAGUCUCUAGUCGAUAGAAUAAUGUAGGUGAGGGAAGUCGGCAAAUUAGAUCCGUAACUUCGGGAUAAGGAUUGGCUCUGAAGAUUGAGAUAGUCGGGCUUGAUUGGGAAACAAUAACAUGGUUUAUGUGCUCGUUCUGGGUAAAUAGAGUUUCUAGCAUUUAUGUUAGUUACUUGUUCCCCGGAUAGUUUAGUUACGUAGCCAAUUGUGGAACUUUCUUGCUAAAAUUUUUAAGAAUACUAUUUGGGUUAAACCAAUUACUUCUUAUUAAUUAUAACGAUUAUCAAUUAACAAUCAAUUCAGAACUGGCACGGACUUGGGGAAUCCGACUGUCUAAUUAAAACAAAGCAUUGUGAUGGCCCUAGCGGGUGUUGACACAAUGUGAUUUCUGCCCAGUGCUCUGAAUGUCAAAGUGAAGAAAUUCAAGUAAGCGCGGGUCAACGGCGGGAGUAACUAUGACUCUCUUAAGGGGAGUCAUGGGGUAUUUGAGAGCAGAGGGGGAGUAUUCUUCUGUAAUUCGUAAGUCAUAUCAUAUGAUGUGCGGAAGGGGAAUUUUACUCUGUAACUCACAAGUCUCUCCUUUACUCAAGUCGACUCAAAACCUCCUCGUGGUGGUCCCCGGUAAUGCUAAACUUGUUUAGCAGCUAAUUUGAGCGGCAAAACUUUUCCGAUGGGCUGGUUCCCCAGAGGAAAUUUAUUCAUAUUGAAACUACAAGCACAAAUAACGAGCCUCGGAUAACUUUACACAAUCUGAUGACGACCCGACCCUCCGUGGAUAUCUUCCCGGAGGACCAAUAUGAACCAAACGCAGCGGUUACUCUAUCUAGGGUUCCCUGCACAGUAUAUGACCGGUCCUUUAACAGCAAGAGAGGACUCGGUGUUCACAUGCGAUCUCGGCACCCAGACGAACUUGAUGAAGAACGUCGACGUGUCGAUAUAAAGGCAAGAUGGAGUGACGAAGAGAAGUGGAUGAUGGCGAGAAAGGAGGUUGAGCUCACAGCAAAUGGAUGUAAACACAUAAACAACUAGCGGUGUAUUUUGCAAACCGCAGCGUCGAAGCCAUCAAAAAGCUAAGACAGAGGGGCGAUUAUAAGGAGAAAAUAGAGCAGAUAAGAGGGCAAUCAGCUCUCGCCCCGGAAGUUGCUAAUCUAACCAUAAGGCGCCGCCCUAGUAGAAGUGAGCAAGACCACCAAGUAACAACAUCGGAAACAACUCCAAUCACUCCCUUCGAACAGUCGAACAGGGAAAUUU